UGUUGGUAGAAGCGCUGGAUUGGUGCCGACGGAGGUUUGUCACAGAACAAGAGGAAGCUAUGUUUGGAAGCAAUGGUGUUGCAAUUGGAAUUGCCACAAAGAGGUACACAAAAGUUUGUGACAAGAAAAUGGAUUAAAAGAAUUCAAUCCUAAGGA
Zonotrichia leucophrys gambelii is the source of this 156-nucleotide long non-coding RNA. RefSeq lists it as uncharacterized. NCBI's taxonomy places the organism in Eukaryota, Metazoa, Chordata, Aves, Passeriformes, Passerellidae. The record is from RefSeq and is a predicted model, not a curated record. The transcript is spliced from 3 exons.